This 483-nucleotide ribosomal RNA is filed under the name uncultured bacterium. Its description in RNAcentral is "partial 16S ribosomal RNA". It matches the Rfam family "Bacterial small subunit ribosomal RNA", at positions 28 to 507 of the family's 1533-position model. The record is from RNAcentral.
GAUGAACGCUGGCGGCGUGCCUAACACAUGCAAGUCGAACGAAGCUUGACGGAUGAUUUCUUCGGAAUGAAACCAGAUAUGACUUAGUGGCGGACGGGUGAGUAACACGUGAGCAACCUGCCUUUCAGAGGGGGAUAACGGCUGGAAACGGUCGCUAAUACCGCAUGAUGUGUUCGGAUGGCAUCAUCUGAACAUCCAAGAUUUAUCGCUGAAAGAUGGGCUCGCGUCUGAUUAGAUAGUUGGUGGGGUAACGGCCUACCAAGUCUACGAUCAGUAGCCGGACUGAGAGGUUGAACGGCCACAUUGGGACUGAGAUACGGCCCAGACUCCUACGGGAGGCAGCAGUGGGGAAUAUUGCACAAUGGGGGAAACCCUGAUGCAGCAACGCCGCGUGAAGGAUGACGGUUUUCGGAUUGUAAACUUCUUUUCUUAGUGACGAAGACAGUGACGGUAGCUAAGGAAUAAGCAUCGGCUAACUACGUG